GGAGUAUUCGGGUUCCGGGGGGAGUAUGGUCGCAAGGCCGAAACUUAAAGGAAUUGACGGAAGGGCACCACCAGGAGUGGAAUCUGCGGCUUAAUUUGACAACGCGGGAAAACUCACCAGGUCAGGACACGGUAAGGAUUGACGGACUGAAGGCUCUUUCUCGAUUCCGUGGAAAGUGGUGCAUGGCCGUUUUUGGUUGGUGGAUCGAUCCGUCUGGUUAAUUCCGUUAACGAACGAGACCUCGGCACUCCGAAUAGCGCGGCGGACGUCGCGGCCUCCGGGCCGUCUUCCGCACGAGCUUCUUAGAGGGACCGUCCCCCGCCGGGGAAGGAGGUGCGAGGCAACGACAGGUCUGUGAUGCCCUUAGAUGUUCUGGGCCGCACGCGCAUUACACUGACGCGUCCAACGGGUGACUCCCGACCCGAAGGGGCCGGGGAAUCCGCAAGGCGCGUCGUGAUGGGGAUUGAACGUUGCAAUUGUUGUUCACGAACGAGGAAUUCCUAGUAGGCGCGGGUCAUCAACCCGCGCCGAUUACGUCCCUG
RNAcentral lists this ribosomal RNA (542 nucleotides) under uncultured eukaryote. RNAcentral's name for it is "bacterial SSU rRNA". It matches the Rfam family "Eukaryotic small subunit ribosomal RNA", at positions 1100 to 1655 of the family's 1831-position model. The record is from RNAcentral.